GAUGAACGCUGGCGGCGUGCCUAAUACAUGCCAGUCGAGCGAACAGACGAGGAGCUUGCUCCUCUGACGUUAGCGGCGGACGGGUGAGUAACACGUGGAUAACCUACCUAUAAGACUGGGAUAACUUCGGGAAACCGGAGCUAAUACCGGAUAAUAUAUUGAACCGCAUGGUUCAAUAGUGAAAGACGGUUUUGCUGUCACUUAUAGAUGGAUCCGCGCCGCAUUAGCUAGUUGGUAAGGUAACGGCUUACCAAGGCAACGAUGCGUAGCCGACCUGAGAGGGUGAUCGGCCACACUGGAGCUGAGACACGGUCCAGACUCCUACGGGAGGCAGCAGUAGGGAAUCUUCCGCAAUGGGCGAAAGCCUGACGGAGCAACGCCGCGUGAGUGAUGAAGGUCUUCGGAUCGUAAAACUCUGUUAUUAGGGAAGAACAAAUGUGCAAGUAACUAUGCACGUCUUGACGGUACCUAAUCAGAAAGCCACGGCUAACUACGUG
This 497-nucleotide ribosomal RNA is filed under the name uncultured bacterium. RNAcentral's name for it is "partial 16S ribosomal RNA". It matches the Rfam family "Bacterial small subunit ribosomal RNA", at positions 28 to 507 of the family's 1533-position model. The record is from RNAcentral.